AUGUAUGAUGCCGAUCGCAUAUAUGUGACUAUUAGGAGUCAAAGUUAUAGCGCCACCAACUGGCAGCAGGAAGUGUGUCAUUUUCAAAAUGCUUUGAAUUCAGCAUCUUAUUUUCACUCGAUUUGCAUCAAACUUCAUCGGAUUGUUCGAUGUAUGAUGCCGAUCGCAUAGAUGUGACUAUUAGGAGUCAAAGUUAUAGCGCCACCAACUGGCAGCAGGAAGUGUGUCAUUUUCAAAAUGCUUUGAAUUCAGCAUCUUAUUUUUACUCGAUUUGCUUCAAACUUCAUCAGAAUAAUGACAAAACACGGCCGAUGUAAAUCUGUUGUGGGGAUAUUGAUAUCUAAUAUAGUGUUGCCAUGGCAACGUGUCAAACUUGAAUAUUCUAUUCUGGUGAUUUUGAGGCAGAUAAAAUGCUCAGAAUUACAUGAAACUCAAAACACAUAUCAGUAUUAAUGAUAGCUAGACAAUGGAAAAAAAGCACAUGAAAAGGGCGUGGAGGAGGCACUCUAUAGCGCCACCUUUUUGUCAAAAAGUCGGGGGUUAGUUUUUAGCUACAGACACCAAACUCGGUACAUAUAUUGUUCUUAUCAAGACGGACAACUUUCUAAUUUACAGUCAUCAGCUACGACCAACAGGAAGUCGGCUAUUUUGGUUUAAAUGUGGAUUUUUGGAAAAAUAUUGCUGUGAAUUAAUGCAUACUACUCAGAGGAAAAUUACACUAUACACACCAAACUUUUGUCUACAUGAUGACAAAACA
This is a long non-coding RNA of Cyprinus carpio carpio, 757 nucleotides long. The record is from Ensembl. NCBI's taxonomy places the organism in Eukaryota, Metazoa, Chordata, Actinopteri, Cypriniformes, Cyprinidae.